Long non-coding RNA from Alligator sinensis (Chinese alligator), 384 nucleotides. RefSeq lists it as uncharacterized. The record is from RefSeq and is a predicted model, not a curated record. The transcript has 3 exons. NCBI's taxonomy places the organism in Eukaryota, Metazoa, Chordata, Crocodylia, Alligatoridae.
GGAUAAUGGAAUGCAAAGCCCUGGUGUGAAGAAAUAAGUUCUUGGCUGUGAAGGCUUUGUACCAUCUAUGGUGUUUUUCAGCAGAACUUUCUAAUGUAAGGGUUCCAUAGAUUCUUCAAUAUUUAUGCAGAGGUGUCUGCAAAUUUUCUGCCCACAAAAUGAGUUGCAGCUGCCGUACUGAACAGGUGUGCCUCUCAUUAAUUGCAUCUGCAGUGAUAUCAUCAGAGGCUCAGAUCUGGAUAUACUGUUGCUAGAGCUGCCCAGAAGAAUCUUCUCAGCCAGAAAGUAGGAAUAGAUCAACUAAGCCCUCUAUCUCUGAUUGUAAAUAGCUUCUGACACAUAAUCAAGACCCUCAUUAAUUUCUCCCACACCCUUUCUUCAUAU